AGAUUCACAUAUGAUAGGAAGACAUGUUAUGAAGUUGAUGGGUAGCAAAUAUUAUACUUUGUUUACAUGAGAAGUGAGUUCCUCAUAUGAAAUAUGCUUUCGGAGAAACAUAAUGAGAGAGAUUGAAUUUUCUCUAGGUUCAACAUUGCGAAUGGUCUGCUUAUGGCUUGGUAUGUGGUGUCACAAUGAUUUUUUUCUAGAACUCUGAGGUCUUUGAAGAAAUAAGAAGAUCCUUAAUCUUGGGUUAAUUAUCUAUAUGAUUAUCGACGAGAUGACAUGUGAUUCUUCCAAGUCUUGAGGAUGAACAAGUAUGGCUUGGAACAAGCAGUAGCUGGAGGAGUUGGAUUUCAACAACAAUGAGAUGAACGAGGAGUUCCUCAAGAAGAAUAACGACAACAUUAGAUCAUGAUAUAUUGCAGACCCUUAAGUUUAUAAAGAGUUGACUUAGUUUUUUGGAUUAUCUUUUCAAAUAGGUUCAUUGCUCCGGCCCGAUUAAUCCAGCAUGUCCAAACAGGCCGGCCGUUCUAUGUUCCGGGGUUGGGUCGGAUAGGACCAGAUCCAAUCGGAUCUGAUCGUAGCUUCGAGUUCAGGUGCCGUACUGCGGCCGGACCGGAAAGGAGGGGGACAGCGAACCUCACUUGCUUUUGUUGUAGUUUGUUAGUCUUAACGCAGGAAAAAAAAGAAGAGAAAAUCUUAUUCACAUCAGCUUGACUUUAUUCCAUAUAUGUGAUGCUCUUUGAGUUAUUAUAUAUCUAAUAUGAAUUGAAUCUGCAAUGUUUUUGUAAAA
This is a long non-coding RNA of Solanum pennellii, 787 nucleotides long. RefSeq lists it as uncharacterized. The record is from RefSeq and is a predicted model, not a curated record. NCBI's taxonomy places the organism in Eukaryota, Viridiplantae, Streptophyta, Magnoliopsida, Solanales, Solanaceae. The transcript has 2 exons.